RNAcentral lists this non-coding RNA (136 nucleotides) under Sinocyclocheilus rhinocerous. Lineage: Eukaryota; Metazoa; Chordata; Actinopteri; Cypriniformes; Cyprinidae. The record is from RNAcentral.
CCGGUCGAGGGCUAGAGCUCCAGUGUUUGUCAGUAUGCUGGAGCUCCACCUGUUUGACCGAGACGACAGCAGAGCAGUUACAGGUGUGGGCAUCGAUACAGCCGCCUCAUGCUCAUGUAUGAAACUGCACACAAAU